UACGUAGGGUGCAAGCGUUGUCCGGAAUUAUUGGGCGUAAAGCGCGUGUAGGCGGCCAGAUAGGUCUGCUGUGAAAACUCGAGGCUCAACCUCGAGCUGUCGGCGGAAACCAUCUGGCUAGAGUCCGGAAGAGGAGAGUGGAAUUCCUGGUGUAGCGGUGAAAUGCGCAGAUAUCAGGAGGAACACCGGUGGCGAAGGCGGAUCUCUGGGCCAUUACUGACGCUGAGGAGCGAAAGCGUGGGGAGCGAACAGG
Molecule: ribosomal RNA, 253 nt
Filed under: uncultured bacterium
Lineage: Bacteria
Description: partial 16S ribosomal RNA
Rfam family: Bacterial small subunit ribosomal RNA
Source: RNAcentral